This 813-nucleotide ribosomal RNA is filed under the name Fusarium solani. RNAcentral describes it as "eukaryotic LSU rRNA". It matches the Rfam family "Eukaryotic large subunit ribosomal RNA", at positions 76 to 919 of the family's 3401-position model. The record is from RNAcentral. Lineage: Eukaryota; Fungi; Ascomycota; Sordariomycetes; Hypocreales; Nectriaceae.
UGCCCCAGUAACGGCGAGUGAAGCGGCAACAGCUCAAAUUUGAAAUCUGGCUCUCGGGCCCGAGUUGUAAUUUGUAGAGGAUGCUUUUGGUGAGGUGCCUUCCGAGUUCCCUGGAACGGGACGCCAUAGAGGGUGAGAGCCCCGUCUGGUUGGACGCCGAACCUCUGUAAAGCUCCUUCGACGAGUCGAGUAGUUUGGGAAUGCUGCUCUAAAUGGGAGGUAUAUGUCUUCUAAAGCUAAAUACCGGCCAGAGACCGAUAGCGCACAAGUAGAGUGAUCGAAAGAUGAAAAGAACUUUGAAAAGAGAGUUAAAAAGUACGUGAAAUUGUUGAAAGGGAAGCGCUUGUGACCAGACUUGGGCUUGGUUGAUCAUCCGGGGUUCUCCCCGGUGCACUCUUCCGGCCCAGGCCAGCAUCAGUUCGCCCUGGGGGACAAAGGCUUCGGGAACGUGGCUCUCUCCGGGGAGUGUUAUAGCCCGUUGCGUAAUACCCUGUGGCGGACUGAGGUUCGCGCAUUCGCAAGGAUGCUGGCGUAAUGGUCAUCAGUGACCCGUCUUGAAACACGGACCAAGGAGUCGUCUUCGUAUGCGAGUGUUCGGGUGUCAAACCCCUACGCGAAAUGAAAGUGAACGCAGGUGAGAGCUUCGGCGCAUCAUCGACCGAUCCUGAUGUUAUCGGAUGGAUUUGAGUAAGAGCAUACGGGGCCGGACCCGAAAGAAGGUGAACUAUGCCUGUGUAGGGUGAAGCCAGAGGAAACUCUGGUGGAGGCUCGCAGCGGUUCUGACGUGCAAAUCGAUCGUCAAACAUGGGCAUG